CAAUCAUGUUGGAAUCCUCUUUCACCCAGUAAAUUAACUAUAUAAUGAUUUCUUGAUUGUUUGCAUCAGUCUUUUACACAAAAUUUAGUAUAAUAAAACCUCAUUCUCUAUUGUGAAUAAAAGCAGGAAAAUACAUCAAACGGCUCUUGGGUAUUCAUAACCAUUUGCUAGGAGUCUUGGUUUGCAUUUGAGAACAACAAUGUUAUAUUUGGAAUGAAUUUGAAAGAGCUUAAGUUCAAACUUAAAUUGGUCUUGAAUUAAGGUUUGAAUAAACUUGAACGAGCUUUAGUUCAAACUUGAAUCGGCAUUAUACUUAGGG
This 319-nucleotide unclassified non-coding RNA is filed under the name Hevea brasiliensis (rubber tree). The record is from RNAcentral. Lineage: Eukaryota; Viridiplantae; Streptophyta; Magnoliopsida; Malpighiales; Euphorbiaceae.